GGCGCUAUAGCCAAGUGGUUACGGCGACAGAUUAGAACUCAGUGGGAACGAUGUUCCAAAUACGGUUAUCUGUUCUCCUUUGGAGGCGCAGGUUCGAAUCCUGCUGGCGUCG
Laetiporus sulphureus 93-53 is the source of this 112-nucleotide transfer RNA. It matches the Rfam family "tRNA". Rfam says of the family: Transfer RNA (tRNA) molecules are approximately 80 nucleotides in length. Their secondary structure includes four short double-helical elements and three loops (D, anti-codon, and T loops). NCBI's taxonomy places the organism in Eukaryota, Fungi, Basidiomycota, Agaricomycetes, Polyporales, Laetiporaceae. The record is from Rfam.